UAGCUCAGUGGUAGAGCGCAUACUUAGCAAGCAUUGAGGUCCUGGGUUCAAUCCCCAG
This 58-nucleotide transfer RNA is filed under the name Camelus bactrianus (Bactrian camel). It matches the Rfam family "tRNA", at positions 8 to 63 of the family's 71-position model. Rfam says of the family: Transfer RNA (tRNA) molecules are approximately 80 nucleotides in length. Their secondary structure includes four short double-helical elements and three loops (D, anti-codon, and T loops). Lineage: Eukaryota; Metazoa; Chordata; Mammalia; Artiodactyla; Camelidae. The record is from Rfam by way of RNAcentral. RNAcentral also lists the same sequence under 2 other names.